UACAGAGGUGGCGAGCGUUAUUCGGAUUUAUUGGGCGUAAAGAGCUCGUAGGCGGCUCGUUGCGUCGGCUGUGAAAACCCGCAGCUCAACUGUGGGCUUGCAGCUGAUACGGGCGGGCUGGAGUUCGGUAGGGGAGACUGGAAUUCCUGGUGUAGCGGUGGAAUGCGCAGAUAUCAGGAGGAACACCGAUGGCGAAGGCAGGUCUCUGGGCCACUACUGACGCUGAGAAGCGAAAGCAUGGGGAGCGAACAGG
RNAcentral lists this ribosomal RNA (253 nucleotides) under uncultured bacterium. RNAcentral describes it as "partial 16S ribosomal RNA". It matches the Rfam family "Bacterial small subunit ribosomal RNA", at positions 524 to 776 of the family's 1533-position model. The record is from RNAcentral.